GAUGAAGAACGUAGUGAAAUGCGAUAAGUAAUGUGAAUUGCAGAAUUCAGUGAAUCAUCGAAUCUUUGAACGCACAUUGCGCCCGCUAGUAUUCUGGCGGGCAUGCCUGUCCGAGCGUCAUUUCAACCCUCAAGCCCCCGGGCUUGGUGUUGGGGAUCGGCGAGCCUCCGCGCCCGCCGUCCCCUAAAUCUAGUGGCGGUCUCGCUGUAGCUUCCUCUGCGUAGUAGCACACCUCGCACUGGGAAACAGCGCGGCCACGCCGUUAAACCCCCAACUUCUGAACGUUUGACCUCGCAUCAGGUAGGAAUACCCGCUGAACUUAAGCAUAUCAAUAAGCGGAGGA
This 343-nucleotide unclassified non-coding RNA is filed under the name soil metagenome. RNAcentral describes it as "partial contains 5.8S ribosomal RNA, internal transcribed spacer 2, and large subunit ribosomal RNA". The stretch from base 1 to 120 matches the Rfam family "5.8S ribosomal RNA", at positions 35 to 154 of the family's 154-position model. The record is from RNAcentral.